AAAGGAAUUGACGGGGGCCCGCACAAGCGGUGGAGCAUGUGGUUUAAUUCGAAGCAACGCGAAGAACCUUACCAGGUCUUGACAUCCCAUUGACCACUGUAGAGAUACAGUUUUCCCUUCGGGGACAACGGUGACAGGUGGUGCAUGGUUGUCGUCAGCUCGUGUCGUGAGAUGUUGGGUUAAGUCCCGCAACGAGCGCAACCCUUGUUCUUAGUUGCCAUCAUUUAGUUGGGCACUCUAAGGAGACUGCCGGUGAUAAACCGGAGGAAGGUGGGGAUGACGUCAAAUCAUCAUGCCCCUUAUGACCUGGGCUACACACGUGCUACAAUGGACGAUACAAACGGUUGCCAACCCGCGAGGGGGAGCUAAUCCGAUAAAAUCGUUCUCAGUUCGGAUUGUAGGCUGCAACUCGCCUACAUGAAGCCGGAAUCGCUAGUAAUCGUGGAUCAGCAUGCCACGGUGAAUACGUUCCCGGGCCUUGCACACACCGCCCGU
RNAcentral lists this ribosomal RNA (495 nucleotides) under uncultured bacterium. Its description in RNAcentral is "bacterial SSU rRNA". It matches the Rfam family "Bacterial small subunit ribosomal RNA", at positions 903 to 1397 of the family's 1533-position model. The record is from RNAcentral.